RNAcentral lists this long non-coding RNA (219 nucleotides) under Volvox carteri. RNAcentral's name for it is "long non-coding RNA (VCAR_LNC004329)". Lineage: Eukaryota; Viridiplantae; Chlorophyta; Chlorophyceae; Chlamydomonadales; Volvocaceae. The record is from RNAcentral.
GUUUCGGGUUGGGAUGCCAGAUUGUUACACUUUGGGUCGAACGACAUAAGCCAGCUGGCACACCAAAAGAGCGCAAUAAAGAUGACAUUACAAAAUAAACAACAAUAUCGUCUUAUAUAGCAACACGAUUCCGAAAUGGCACCCAAGCGUCGUACAUCGUGGCGCGCUUCAGAAUGGCGCGCUUUAUUGUGGCGCGCUUACUGGUUAAUAACUAACUUG